AAGUCGUAACAAGGUUUCCGUAGGUGAACCUGCGGAAGGAUCAUUAAUGCAAAUGUAUGUGCUGUCCUCCUCUGUUUGCAAAAACGGAAGUGACUGCCCAUAUUGAACCCGCUUAAUAACGCUCGACUUUUGUUCAUUUAAUUGACAGAAGCUCGACGUCACAAGUAACCAGAGACUUUUUCUUUUCUGUUCGGGUUUCUGCUAGCGGAAUCCCGGAAAGAAGAGGGAAAUGUUCUCUACCAUUUUUACACCAUAAUUACCCUAUUCUAUAAACUAUUAGACUGAUAUAACAUCACAUUUUUCACAAUGUGAAACAUAAAAAAAUAAGAACAACUCUUAGCAAUGGAUAUCUAGGCUCUC
Molecule: unclassified non-coding RNA, 360 nt
Filed under: fungal sp.
Lineage: Eukaryota; Fungi
Description: partial internal transcribed spacer region
Rfam family: Eukaryotic small subunit ribosomal RNA (bases 1-46)
Source: RNAcentral